RNAcentral lists this ribosomal RNA (293 nucleotides) under uncultured bacterium. RNAcentral's name for it is "partial 16S ribosomal RNA". It matches the Rfam family "Bacterial small subunit ribosomal RNA", at positions 27 to 311 of the family's 1533-position model. The record is from RNAcentral.
GAACGAACGCUGGCGGCGCGCCUAAUACAUGCAAGUCGAGCGAGAAGACGUAGCAAUACGUUUGUAAAGCGGCGAACGGGUGAGGAAUACAUGGGUAACCUACCCUCGAGUGGGGAAUAACUAGCCGAAAGGUUAGCUAAUACCGCGUACGCUCCUUGGACUUCGGUUCAGGGAGGAAAGCGAUACCGUGGGUAUCGCGCUCUUGGAUGGGCUCAUGUCCUAUCAGCUUGUUGGUGAGGUAACGGCUCACCAAGGCUUCGACGGGUAGCUGGUCUGAGAGGACGAUCAGCCAC